AUUCAGCUAACGAGUCCGAAAUAGGACGAAAAGCGUGUCCUGGAU
Non-coding RNA from Schistosoma mansoni, 45 nucleotides. NCBI's taxonomy places the organism in Eukaryota, Metazoa, Platyhelminthes, Trematoda, Strigeidida, Schistosomatidae. The record is from Rfam.